RNAcentral lists this small nuclear RNA (193 nucleotides) under Chrysemys picta bellii (western painted turtle). Its description in RNAcentral is "U2 spliceosomal RNA (ENSCPBG00000008484.1)". It matches the Rfam family "U2 spliceosomal RNA". Rfam says of the family: U2 is a small nuclear RNA (snRNA) component of the spliceosome (involved in pre-mRNA splicing). Lineage: Eukaryota; Metazoa; Chordata; Testudines; Emydidae. The record is from Rfam by way of RNAcentral.
AUCGCUUCCUGGCUCUUUGAGCUGUGGUCCAAGUGUAGUGUCUGUUCUUAUCAGUUUAAUAUCUGAUAUGUUCUUUAUUUGAGAACUGUAUGUUAAAUUGAUUUUUGAAACAGGGGGCUGGAAUAGGAGCUUGCUCUGCCCACCCCAUGCAUUGACCUGGUAUUGCAGUGUCUCCAGGACUGGUGCAUCUCCC